Gallus gallus (chicken) is the source of this 1478-nucleotide long non-coding RNA. The record is from Ensembl. Lineage: Eukaryota; Metazoa; Chordata; Aves; Galliformes; Phasianidae.
GUGGGGUGAGUGGGGGCGAGGCGGGGCGUGCCAAGGCGUGGCAGGCGAGGCGGGGCAGGGCGGGUCGAGGCGUGGUGGGGUGAGUGGGUGCAAGGCGGGGCGUGGCAAGGCGUGGCAGGCGAGGCGGGGCAGGGCGGGUCGAGGGGAAGCGAGGCGGGGUGAGGCGAAGUGAUUCGGGGCGGGGUGAGACGGGAUGAGGUUGGGCGAGGCGGAAUGAGGCGGGGCGAGGGGAAGCGAGGCAGGACGAGGUGGGGCGAGAUGGGGCGAGAUGGGGCGAGGCAAGGCGUGGCAUGUGAGGCUGGGCGAGGUGGGGUGAGGCUAGGUGGGGUGGGGCGCUGCGGGGCAAGGCGAGGCAAGGCGGGGCGGGGUGAGACGAGGCGGGGCAAGGCUGGGCGAGGCGGGGUGGGGCUAUGCAUUGCAAGGUGGGAGAGGUGGGGUGAGGUGGGGCGAGGUGGGGUGAGGCAGGGCGAGGCGAGGCGUGGCAGGUGAGUUGGGGCCAGGCAGGGCGAGGCUAGGCAGGGUAGGGCGAGGCGGGGCGAGGCGGGGCAAGGCGGGGUGGGGUGAGGCAGGGUGGGGUUAGGCGGGGCUACGCUAGACGGGGCGAGGCGAGUUGUGGCAGGAUAAGCGGGAUGGGGCGAGGGGAAGCGAGGGGAAGCGAGGCGGGGCGAGGCGAGGCAGGCGAGGCGUAGCAGGUGAGGUGGGGCGGGCCGGCCGAGGGGAAGCGAGGCGGGGCGAGGCGAGGCGGGAAGAAGCGAAGCGAGGCAGGGUGGGGCGGAGCAGGGUGGGGCAAGGCUAGGCAUGGCGGGGUGAGGCGGGGCGAUGCGGGCGAGGCGAGGCGUGGCAGGCGAGGCGGGGCGAGGCAGGGUGAGGGGAAGCGAGGCGGGGUGAGGCGAGGGGAAGUGAAGUGGGGCAAGGCUAGGCGAGGUGAGGUGUGGCAGGCGAGGUGAGGCGAGGCAAGGUGGGUGAGGCAGGGCAAGGUUGGAUGUGGCAAGACGAGGCGAGGCGGGGCGAUGCGUGGCGAGGCGGGGCGAGGCGGGGGGAUGCAAGGCGGGGCUAGGCGGGGUGAGGCAAGGCGAGGCGGGGUGGGGCAAGAAGAGGCGAGGUGGGGCUAUGCGUUGCAGGGCAGGAGAGGCGGAACGUGGUGGGGCGAGGUGGGGCGAGGCGGGGCGAGGCGAGGCAUAGCAGGCAAGGGCGGAGCAAGGCGGGGCGGGGAGAGGCGUGGCAGGGUGAGGCAGGGCGAGGCAAGGCGAGGCAAGGCGAUGCAGUGCGGAGCAAAGCAGGGCAAGGCGAAGCGAGGCGGGGCAGGGCGAGACGAGGCGGGGCGAGGCGGGGCGAGGCGGGGUGGGGCUAUGUGUUGCGAGGUGGGAGAGGCGGGGCGAGGUGGAGCGAGGUGGGGUGAGGUGGGGUGAAACGAGGCGUAGCAGGUGAGGUGGGGCCAGGCAGGGUGAGGCUAGGUGGGAUGGGGCGAGGCGGGGCGG